UUUUCGAAAACCUACCAGUUAGUAGAUGUCCAGCAUUCCUUCCUGCCUGACCACGUUUUUGACCACUUUUUGCAUCUUGGAUUUCCCUGCCUUGCCUGACCCUCAUUGGAUGUCUCUCGCCUCUGGAUCACGACCUUGUUUCUACCUCUCGACCAAAGCCUCCUGCCUCACCCCUGAAUUUGUCUGCCUGAGUCUGCCUACCUGGUUUCGCCCAGUUACUGCCCCCCCCUUGACUACCGAGCCUUGGAUCUUUCCCCCUGUCGGCAAUCCGACUUCUGGCUGCGGCGUGUUCUGCACCGAUCCUCCCGGUCUGGAGACUGCCAGGACCGCACCCCGCAAAGGAGCCUAUUCUGAUUCCUCCAUCCUACACGGACUCUGUUAAGCAGUGAGCCGCAGGUGGGACAGGCACGGACCGACGGACACCCUUUGGCUCCUUUCACAGUCUGAAUUUGGACUUCUGGACAAUCUCUCAGUGUCUUCAAGGCAGAAUUGUGGCAGUCAUCAUUUUCACAGCGGUCAGAUCGAGGCUGUUGACCUUUCCACUCCCUCAAACACUGCCAGCAGAAUGCAAAGAUGUUCACACCACUUUGUCAGAGACAUCGGGGUCACCACAUGUCCGCAGGACAUCCGAGCUCUUGGAGAUGGGAAACCUUCACACAAAACUGUAAAAACAAAACCUAAUGAG
This is a long non-coding RNA of Girardinichthys multiradiatus, 685 nucleotides long. RefSeq lists it as uncharacterized. The record is from RefSeq and is a predicted model, not a curated record. Lineage: Eukaryota; Metazoa; Chordata; Actinopteri; Cyprinodontiformes; Goodeidae. The transcript has 3 exons.